UCACAUUCCGAACCCGGAAGCUAAGACUCUCAGCGCCGAUGGUACUGCAGGGGGGACCCUGUGGGAGAGUAGGACACCGCCGGAC
Molecule: ribosomal RNA, 85 nt
Filed under: Cryobacterium ruanii
Lineage: Bacteria; Bacillati; Actinomycetota; Actinomycetes; Micrococcales; Microbacteriaceae
Source: RNAcentral